RNAcentral lists this ribosomal RNA (461 nucleotides) under uncultured bacterium. RNAcentral describes it as "bacterial SSU rRNA". It matches the Rfam family "Bacterial small subunit ribosomal RNA", at positions 340 to 793 of the family's 1533-position model. The record is from RNAcentral.
UACGGGAGGCAGCAGUGGGGAAUAUUGCACAAUGGGGGAAACCCUGAUGCAGCCAUGCCGCGUGUGUGAAGAAGGCCUUCGGGUUGUAAAGCACUUUCAGUAGGGAGGAAGGUAGUGUAGUUAACACCUGCACUAUUUGACGUUACCUACAGAAGAAGCACCGGCUAACUCCGUGCCAGCAGCCGCGGUAAUACGGAGGGUGCGAGCGUUAAUCGGAAUUACUGGGCGUAAAGCGCAUGCAGGCGGCCUGUUAAGUCAGAUGUGAAAGCCCCGGGGCUUAACCUCGGAAUUGCAUUUGAAACUGGCAGGCUAGAGUCUUGUAGAGGGGGUAGAAUUUCAGGUGUAGCGGUGAAAUGCGUAGAGAUCUGAAGGAAUACCAGUGGCGAAGGCGGCCCCCUGGACAAAGACUGACGCUCAGAUGCGAAAGCGUGGGGAGCAAACAGGAUUAGAUACCCUGGUAG